Molecule: ribosomal RNA, 962 nt
Filed under: Sacculina imberbis
Lineage: Eukaryota; Metazoa; Arthropoda; Thecostraca; Sacculinidae
Description: SSU rRNA
Rfam family: Eukaryotic small subunit ribosomal RNA
Source: RNAcentral
GUCGGAUCCGUUGACGGGCCGCUCUUUCGAGGGGCCUGUUGGCGACCGGCGAUGUUACCUUGAACAAAUUAGAGUGCUUAAAGCAGGCUAUGUUUGCCUGAAUACAUAUUCAUGGAAUUGGAGAAUACGUCCCUGACUCAAUUUGGUUGGUUUUGUGAGUCGAAGGGAAAUGAUUAAUAGGGACUGACGGAGGCAUUCGUAUUGCAGCGCGAGGGGUGAAAUCCUAUGACCGUUGCACGACGAACUACUGCGAAAGCAUUUGCCGAGAAUGUUUUCAUUAGUCAAGAACGAAAGUUAGAGGUUCGAAGGCGAUCAGAUACCGCCCUAGUUCUAACCGUAAACGAUGUCAACCAGCAAUCCGCAAUGGUCCUUCAUUGGACCGUGCGGGCAGCUCUCCCGGAGAAAUCAGAGUGUUCAGACUCCGGGGAGAGUACGGUUACAAAACAGAAAUUUAAAGGAAUUGACGGAAGGGCACCACCAGGAGUGGAGCUUGCGGCUUAAUUUGACUCAACACGGGACAACUUACCAGGCCCGGACACUGUAAGGAUUGACAGAUUGAGAGCUCUCUCAUGAUUCAGUGGGUGGUGGUGCAUGGCCGUUCUUAGUUGGUGGAGUGAUUUGUCUGGUUUAUUCCGAUAACGAACGAGACUCUGGCCUACUAAACUAGAAGGCGUUCGUACUUUGUUGUACGUCGUCUAGCUUCUUAGAGGGAUUAUCGGCAUUUCAGCCGAACGAAAGAGAGCAAUAACAGGUCUGUGAUGCCCUUAGAUGUUCUGGGCUGCCCGCGUGUUACACUGAAGUGGUCAACGCGCCACGAAUUCGUCCCACUCCGAAAGGAGCGGGCAAACGUAUGAACCCAUUUCGUGAUGGGGAUUGAGGGUUGGAAUUGUCCCUCAUCAACGAGGAAUUCCAAGUAAGCACAGGUCACUAGCCUGUGUUGAUUAAGUCCCUGCCCUUUGUAC